AUCGGAAUAGUUAAAUUAUAAUAAGACUUUGAAGAGGUUUAGUUGAGGAUGUGUUCUCUCUUCUGGUA
This 68-nucleotide transfer RNA is filed under the name Amphiophiura penichra. RNAcentral's name for it is "tRNA-Phe". Lineage: Eukaryota; Metazoa; Echinodermata; Ophiuroidea; Amphilepidida; Ophiuridae. The record is from RNAcentral.